This 378-nucleotide unclassified non-coding RNA is filed under the name fungal sp. RNAcentral's name for it is "partial internal transcribed spacer region". Lineage: Eukaryota; Fungi. The record is from RNAcentral.
AAGUCGUAACAAGGUUUCCGUAGGUGGACCUGUUGAAGAAGGAUCAUUAACACGUAUCCAACGUUAAACCCCCUGUGAACCUUUAUUGUGGCACGCAAUCCCUGGUAAAUCAUCGCCGAACAGUUUUGAUUCAGGGACUUCUGCAUGGGUAGGACAACUGCGCGAGCAAGUGGCCUGGCAUCCCUCUGCUUGUUAGUGUCUGAAAGUGUCACUAGCUCUGUACGGGUGGCGCAAUCACGAUCGCUAGAGGCCAACACGGCCGGCGACCGGGUCAAUGGGCCCUCGGCCCCCUAAUCACCUUUGCAUGAAAACGGGCCUGCGCUUAAUUGUGCGGCCACCAAACUCGAACAACUGUUAACAAUGGAUAUCUUGGUUCUC